AGUCUUUCCUCAUGGAGAACUGGGAAGAUGAGGGACUUGGUGGCUGUUUAAAAUUAAGCCGCCCCCUGAAAUAAAAGCCGGAGAGCUCUCCCCUGACAAGGAAGCCGACGGGAAGGAAGGUGCACGGAGCUACCAGGAUAAGUACCUGCACCAGCAAAAA
Molecule: non-coding RNA, 160 nt
Organism: Meleagris gallopavo (turkey)
Lineage: Eukaryota; Metazoa; Chordata; Aves; Galliformes; Phasianidae
Source: RefSeq, a predicted model, not a curated record